GUUUGAUCCUGGCUCAGGAUGAACGCUAGCUACAGGCUUAACACAUGCAAGUCGAGGGGCAGCAUGAACUUAGCUUGCUAAGUUUGAUGGCGACCGGCGCACGGGUGAGUAACACGUAUCCAACCUGCCGAUGACUCGGGGAUAGCCUUUCGAAAGAAAGAUUAAUACCCGAUGGCAUAGUUCUUCCGCAUGGUAGAACUAUUAAAGAAUUUCGGUCAUCGAUGGGGAUGCGUUCCAUUAGGUUGUUGGCGGGGUAACGGCCCACCAAGCCUUCGAUGGAUAGGGGUUCUGAGAGGAAGGUCCCCCACAUUGGAACUGAGACACGGUCCAAACUCCUACGGGAGGCAGCAGUGAGGAAUAUUGGUCAAUGGACGAGAGUCUGAACCAGCCAAGUAGCGUGAAGGAUGACUGCCCUAUGGGUUGUAAACUUCUUUUAUACGGGAAUAAAGUGAGGCACGCGUGCCUUUUUGUAUGUAUUAUAUGAAUAAGGAUCGGCUAACUCCGUGCCAGCAGCCGCGGUAAUACGGAGGAUCCGAGCGUUAUCCGGAUUUAUUGGGUUUAAAGGGAGCGUAGGUGGGCUGGUAAGUCAGUUGUGAAAGUUUGCGGCUCAACCGCAAAAUUGCAGUUGAUACUGUCAGUCU
This 641-nucleotide ribosomal RNA is filed under the name uncultured bacterium. RNAcentral's name for it is "bacterial SSU rRNA". It matches the Rfam family "Bacterial small subunit ribosomal RNA", at positions 11 to 642 of the family's 1533-position model. The record is from RNAcentral.